AUCGCUUCUCGGUCUUUUGGCUAAGAUCGAGUGUAGUAUCUGUUCUUAUCAGUUUCAUGCUAUUGGCAGGUGACGCCAGUGUGGGACUGGUGGGGAUGGGUGCUGCAUGGUAGGGAGCAGGUUUACCGGGGCGUUCUGGGGCUGGUUCUGAUGAAUCAGCCCAACGGCUGCCCCGAUAUGACCUGCU
Hyla sarda is the source of this 187-nucleotide small nuclear RNA. RefSeq annotates it as U2 spliceosomal RNA. The transcript has a single exon. NCBI's taxonomy places the organism in Eukaryota, Metazoa, Chordata, Amphibia, Anura, Hylidae. The record is from RefSeq and is a predicted model, not a curated record.